Molecule: long non-coding RNA, 467 nt
Filed under: Bos taurus (domestic cattle)
Lineage: Eukaryota; Metazoa; Chordata; Mammalia; Artiodactyla; Bovidae
Description: long non-coding RNA NONBTAT004797
Source: RNAcentral
GUUUGAUAGUACAAAGCAUUAAUGUUACAAAGUCACCUCAUUGAUAUUUAAUAGAUUUGUAAGGUGGUAUAAACCACCUCUUAGGACCUGUUUGGGAAAAGAAAUUUGAGAGAAACUUGAGAAAAUUCUCUCACUCCAUAGCGAGGUAGUUGCCGCAGCUUCACUGCCCAGAGACUACAAGACGACGAGAGAUCUAAAAAGACCCCAGCUCACAAAGGGUGUUUCCAUAAAGAGUUGAGGUGGUGUCAGGCAGGAGUGCACCAGAGUGGGUCCCCGAAGCACAUGGGUACCUUGGAGAAAACUCCCAUCCUGGACACAGAAUCUGUACCUAAGAGGAAAUGACCUGAAACAAGACGAUUUUAUCAAUGUUUAAAGGAAUCAGAAAAAAAGACCUCAGCUCAUGUGGCCCCUUGUUACUGAUUUUGGAAAAGCAACUUAAGAACAGCCUGGUGCCUGGCUAAAAUGUG